GACUCGCGUCAGUCGCGUGCGUGCGUGCUCCCGACUCCCGAUGUAAACAAACGAGACGACAACUGGGUGUCUACAAUUUUACUAAUCUAGAUAUAGAUAUCUAGAUCUACUAAGUUGUGGUUUAUAAUCCAGUUUCCAAGAGUCUUUUCUCGUCUGCUUUGCCGUUUGGAAAACUAAUUAGAGGAAAUUUGGAGGUGAAUCGGC
This 204-nucleotide unclassified non-coding RNA is filed under the name Aplysia californica (California sea hare). RNAcentral describes it as "U11/U12 small nuclear ribonucleoprotein 35 kDa protein, transcript variant X3". The record is from RNAcentral. Lineage: Eukaryota; Metazoa; Mollusca; Gastropoda; Aplysiida; Aplysiidae.